AGAGUUUGAUCCUGGCUCAGAACGAACGCUGGCGGCGUGGAUAAGACAUGCAAGUCGCACGGAGAAAAGAUAGUUUACUAGCUUUUCUGAGUGGCGCACGGGUGAGUAACACGUGAGCAACCUGCCUCUUAGUGGGGGAUAGCCCUGGGAAACCGGGAUUAAUACCGCAUAUCAUCGCAAGAUGAAAGCAGCAAUGCGCUAAGAGAGGGGCUCGCGGCCUAUUAGUUAGUUGGUGAGGUAACGGCUCACCAAGGCGAUGACGGGUAGCCGGUCUGAGAGGAUGUCCGGCCACACUGGAACUGAGACACGGUCCAGACACCUACGGGUGGCAGCAGUCGAGAAUCAUUCACAAUGGGGGAAACCCUGAUGGUGCGACGCCGCGUGGGGGAAGAAGGUCUUCGGAUUGUAAACCCCUGUCAUGUGGGAGCAAGCUAGCAAUAGUUGAUAGCACCACAAGAGGAAGAGACGGCUAACUCUGUGCCAGCAGCCGCGGUAAUACAGAGGUCUCAAGCGUUGUUCGGAAUCACUGGGCGUAAAGGGUACGUAGGCUGUACCAUAAGUCGGGCGUGAAA
Molecule: ribosomal RNA, 572 nt
Filed under: uncultured bacterium
Lineage: Bacteria
Description: bacterial SSU rRNA
Rfam family: Bacterial small subunit ribosomal RNA
Source: RNAcentral